RNAcentral lists this transfer RNA (75 nucleotides) under Candidatus Omnitrophota bacterium. Its description in RNAcentral is "Candidatus Omnitrophica bacterium tRNA-Phe". It matches the Rfam family "tRNA". From Rfam's summary of the family: Transfer RNA (tRNA) molecules are approximately 80 nucleotides in length. Their secondary structure includes four short double-helical elements and three loops (D, anti-codon, and T loops). The record is from RNAcentral. Lineage: Bacteria; Pseudomonadati; Candidatus Omnitrophota.
GCCGAGGUAGCUCAGCGGUAGAGCGCUGCCCUGAAAAGGCAGGCGUGGCGUGUUCGACUCACGCCCUCGGCACCA